AGUCAGGAUCUGCUGCCUCUCCAAGAUCUGGGCGUCCCGCACUGCAUGGCACUGGGCACCCAGGAUCAACUGGGCCACCACAAUAAGGUACUGAGCUCUUUCCUUUGCCUCAGCUUCCAGCUCGCUUAGACCCUGGUUCUUCUGACGGGACAGAUCAGCCUGACGGAUAUGUGCCUUCCUCUCCUCAGCAGCAUCCUGGCCAGGAAAACCAGAAACAUUGUGGAACGGUGCAAGUGGUUUGCUUUCUUGCUGUUAACGUUUACACAAGGGUGUAGAGCCGAAGCUGGGCCCUGUAGUAUCAGUUCACCAAGUUUUCAUGUGGGAAAGAGCGCUUACAAAGUCAUCAUCCUCUCUAGAGUUGCAAAAUUGUAUCCAAUGUUUUCUGAAUAACCUGAUUAAGUACACAAUCCAAAGAGAAUAAGAACAAUAUCCUGAAUCUUUUAAACAAGAUUUUAGGAAAAUACGGGAAAGUUACUGGAACUUUACGUCCUUUCUCACCAUAGCCAUUUCUCUCUCCUUCUGCUGGGCUUCCAACAUUGCCUCCCGCUCCUCCCUGGUUGGAACUCGAGAAGCAGUGGCAAUCCUCUGAAUCUCAGAGGGGCGCAGAAUGAUGGACAGCCCAGAUGGAUCCUCACUCGGGAUCCUGGGAAAAUUACAAAAUUAUUUGUUUUUUAUUUGUAAUUCACCACCUGAAAGAUGUAACUGUCUGAAUAUCUUUAUUAGUGCAAUUCAAGUUCAUGCAUUCUUUUUAAUGAUAUUGCAGUAUUAAGCAAAGUACAAAAAAAUGUAUUUGCACAUAGCAGAGUAAUUGCUUCACAUAGUGUGAGAAAAAUUACUUAAAUGUAAAAUAAAACAAUUAAACACAAGUUGUGGAAUGCUGAAAAUACAUUAGACGUGAUUAACACAUUCACAGUAUAACAGAAUGAGAAAUAAAGGUAUAGACAAAUACUU
Esox lucius (northern pike) is the source of this 951-nucleotide long non-coding RNA. RefSeq lists it as uncharacterized. The transcript is spliced from 2 exons. The record is from RefSeq and is a predicted model, not a curated record. NCBI's taxonomy places the organism in Eukaryota, Metazoa, Chordata, Actinopteri, Esociformes, Esocidae.